GAAGUACCCAAGUACUGUUAGAAGUAUCUGAUUUGGCUGACUUUUUUUCUUUCCAUGAUGAGCUAAGGAGAUUAUUACGCUGUGUUGGAAAGUGGGAAUGACCAUAGACAUCCCAAAGACGUCAAUCAGUCACCAACUCAUAACAUGUUGAACAAGCAGGAUGCGGGGGCAGUGAUUUCAGAGAAGAAUGUGAUGCUGACAAGGAAAACUGGAAGCUUUGGUGGUGGCCCACUGUCUUGAUGUCUGGAAAGGAGAGGUUGUUCCCAGGCCAGAUUUCUUAU
Molecule: long non-coding RNA, 281 nt
Organism: Stylophora pistillata
Lineage: Eukaryota; Metazoa; Cnidaria; Anthozoa; Scleractinia; Pocilloporidae
Source: RefSeq, a predicted model, not a curated record